ACGAACGCUGGCGGCGUGCUUAACCCAUGCAAGUCGAACGGUGAAGCGCCUUCCUUUUUGGUGGGUGUGGAUGAGUGGCGAACGGGUGAGUAACACGUGAGUAACCUGCCCCCUUCUUCUGGAUAACCGCAUGAAAGUGUGGCUAAUACGGGAUAUUCUGGGUCUGUCGCAUGAUGGGUCUGGGAAAGAUAUUGUUUCGGUGGGGGAUGGGCUCGCGGCCUAUCAGCUUGUUGGUGGGGUGAUGGCCUACCAAGGCGGUGACGGGUAGCCGGCCUGAGAGGGGGGCCGGCAGCGUGGGGGCGGGGCCCGCCCCGCGACCCCUGGGGGGGCCGGCGGGGGGGAUUGUGGCAGAGGGGGGGAAGGCUGGGGGCGGCGCCCCCGGGGGGGGGAGGGGCCCCUGGGGUUGGUGGGCCUCUUCGGCCGGUGAAGCAGCCCGGCCUGGUUUGGGGGUGGGUUGACGUUAGCUGAAAAAGAAGCCCCGCCUAACUACGUC
Molecule: ribosomal RNA, 493 nt
Filed under: uncultured bacterium
Lineage: Bacteria
Description: partial 16S ribosomal RNA
Rfam family: Bacterial small subunit ribosomal RNA
Source: RNAcentral